AACAAAUUCCAGACCUGCUUUUCAUCGUCAUGGGAUGAGUAUGAACCCCUUUCCUGGCUCUGACCCUGAGCCAGAUUUGGUCAUCCAAAUUCUCCUAGCCUCAAGUCCUGCGUGCGUAGCAAAAAAGCAAGACAAAAGGGCCCACACGAGGACACAAAGAGAUGCUGCGGGGAGCCUGCUUCAGGACUCCAUGGAGAGAUGCAUACAGUCACACACUCAUAGACCACUAGAGCCUUUGCAUCCCGUCCCCACAGCAGAACCUCUGCCCCUUGAAGGGUGGGGAAGGGGCCCAAGUAAACUUUGACUGGACCACAGCA
RNAcentral lists this long non-coding RNA (317 nucleotides) under Rattus norvegicus (Norway rat). Its description in RNAcentral is "long non-coding RNA NONRATT018964". The record is from RNAcentral. Lineage: Eukaryota; Metazoa; Chordata; Mammalia; Rodentia; Muridae.